UCUUCAGUAGUAUAGUGGUCAGUAUUUCCGCUUGUCAUCUGACAAUACGCGGGAGACCGGGGUUCAAUUCCCCGCUGGAGAG
This is a transfer RNA of 82 nucleotides. It matches the Rfam family "tRNA". From Rfam's summary of the family: Transfer RNA (tRNA) molecules are approximately 80 nucleotides in length. The record is from Rfam.